GAUGAACGCUGGCGGCGUGCCUAAUACAUGCAAGUCGAGCGAACGGACGAGAAGCUUGCUUCUCUGAUGUUAGCGGCGGACGGGUGAGUAACACGUGGAUAACCUACCUAUAAGACUGGGAUAACUUCGGGAAACCGGAGCUAAUACCGGAUAAUAUUUUGAACCACAUGGUUCAAAAGUGAAAGACGGUCUUGAUAUCACUUAUAGAUGGAUCCGCGCUGCAUUAGCUAGUUGGUAAGGUAACGGCUUAACAAGGCAACGAUGCAUAGCCGACCUGAGAGGGUGAUCGGCCACACUGGAACUGAGACACGGUCCAGACUCCUACGGGAGGCAGCAGUAGGGAAUCUUCCGCAAUGUGCGAAAGCCUGACGGAGCAACGCCGCGUGAGUGAUGAAGGUCUUCGGAUCGUAAAACUCUGUUAUUAGGGAAGAACAUAUGUGUAAUUAACUGUGCACAUCUUGACGGUACCUAAUCAGAAAUCCACGGCUAACUACGUG
RNAcentral lists this ribosomal RNA (497 nucleotides) under uncultured bacterium. RNAcentral's name for it is "partial 16S ribosomal RNA". It matches the Rfam family "Bacterial small subunit ribosomal RNA", at positions 28 to 507 of the family's 1533-position model. The record is from RNAcentral.